GAUGAAGAACGUAGCGAAAUGCGAUACUUGGUGUGAAUUGCAGAAUCCCGUGAACCAUCGAGUCUUUGAACGCAAGUUGCGCCCGAAGCCAUUUGGUUGAGGGCACGUCUGCCUGGGCGUCACAUAUCGUUGCCCGAUGCCUAUUUCAAUGUGAUAGGAAAUUCUAGGGCGAAAGAUGGCUUCCCGUGAGCGUUGUUGCCUCGCGGUUGGUUGAAAAUUGAGUCCUUGGUAGGGUGUGCCAUGAUAGAUGGUGGUCGAGUUUGCACGAGACCGAUCAUGUGUGCGCUCCCCAAAAUAUGGACUCUUUGACCCCACACGCGUCUUUUGACGCUCAUGACGAGACCUCAGGUCAGGCGGGGCUACCCGCUGAGUUUAAGCAUAUCAAUAAGCGGAGGA
Molecule: unclassified non-coding RNA, 396 nt
Filed under: soil metagenome
Description: partial contains 5.8S ribosomal RNA, internal transcribed spacer 2, and large subunit ribosomal RNA
Rfam family: 5.8S ribosomal RNA (bases 1-122)
Source: RNAcentral